UUCUUUUUGAUUUAAAUAUAAAGUAUAACCUGCCCAUUGAAAAUUUUAAAAGGCUGCAGUAUAUUGACUGUACAAAGGUAGCAUAAUCAUUAGUUUUUUAAUUGAGAACUUGUAUGAAUGGUUGAAUGAGAAAUAGACUUUUUUAAUAGAAAAAUUGAAUUUUACAUUUUAAUUAAAAGGUUAAAAUGAUUUUAAAAGACGAGAAGACCCUAUAGAGUUUUAUAAUUUAUGUUUAAUAUUUUAAAAAAAUUAAUUGAUAUUUUUAUUUUAAUAAAUUAUUUUGUUGGGGUGAUAAUAAAAUUUAAUUAACUUUUAUUUUUUUUUAUACAUUAAUAUAUGGAAAAUUGAUCCAUUACUAAUGAUUAAAAAAUUAAAUUACCUUAGGGAUAACAGCGUAAUUUUUUUUUUAAGUUCAUAUUAAUAAAAAAUUUUGCGACCUCGAUGUUGGAUUAAGAUUUGAUUUUAGGUGCAGAAGUUUAAAGUUUAAGUCUGUUCGACUUUUAAAUUCUU
Molecule: ribosomal RNA, 510 nt
Filed under: Pseudolycoriella puhihi
Lineage: Eukaryota; Metazoa; Arthropoda; Insecta; Diptera; Sciaridae
Description: partial large subunit ribosomal RNA
Source: RNAcentral